Molecule: signal recognition particle RNA, 117 nt
Filed under: Gorilla gorilla gorilla (western lowland gorilla)
Lineage: Eukaryota; Metazoa; Chordata; Mammalia; Primates; Hominidae
Description: Metazoan signal recognition particle RNA
Rfam family: Metazoan signal recognition particle RNA
About the family: The signal recognition particle (SRP) is a universally conserved ribonucleoprotein. It is involved in the co-translational targeting of proteins to membranes.
Source: Rfam by way of RNAcentral
GCCAGGUGUGGUGGCUCACACCUGUAAUCCCAGCACUUUGGGAGGCUGAGGUGGGUGGAUCACCUGAGGUCAGGAGUUCCCAACCAGCCUGGCCAACAUGGUGAAACCCCAUCUCUA